UGCGUUUCUAAAAUGACUAAUUACUUUUAUUUAAAAAAUAACAUUAUCUAUUAAAGAAUGGUGACAGUAGGGACUAAACAAAAAGUAAAAACUCCAAAACUCUCCCCACCUAGGGUGUGGGGUCGGGGGAGGGAACGGUAACAAUAAAAACAACAUCUGAAUAUGUAAACUCAGUUUCUCGGGUUAGAAUUUGCAUUUUUGUCAGAACCAGAAUUCACUGUACAGGACAUCAUCACAUGCUCAGACUUCUAAAACAUUUCGUGGAAGAGAGUAGACUGUUUACCGGAUGCCCUUCUAUUUUUGCCGUGCAGGAUUAGUACCUUCUACUUCCUUAAAUGUAGGCAAAUAAAAUUACGGAGAAAUAAAAUGACUGCAGCCUUUGAGCGCUGGUUUGUCCUAGGACAAUCGGAUUUCACCGGGUAACGUAUAUGCAAACAGACACGUCCCGUUUAUUUCAUUGUUUGCACUGCGGAGACUCUCCGCCGCUCUCCACGCCUUUGUUGACCUACCGCCAGCAAAGUUGUGUGGUUAUAAAUAGAUAGAGGCAGCUGAUUAAGAAGCGGGGGGAGUGACUUUCUCUGGGCUCUUACGGAUCAAUCACCGCUAAGGGGAUGCAGGUUGAGGGGAAGGAAGAAAGUAAAUCGCGGGGCAGUUUGACUAAGUGAAACCCAAUUCCUUCGCCCCAAAGCUGUGGUGGCCAGACGUGCGCGACCCUCUAGACCCAAAACAGUUUUAGUCAGCAACGGGUCAUCAGCAGGACCGAGAAGACUGGGUGGGAGGUCUGGCCGGUCCGAAAUAGGGAAGAGGUGCGGGCUCAUCACCGAGGCGGUAGGGCUCGGCUUAUGGUCUAGAGCCUUGAGGCGCUCCCGCGUGAGCCCCGCUGCUUCCAGUCCGCCCUCGCCUGGCCCGGCGCGGGUCGCUCCCUCCUCCCCGUCCUGUUCCGCACUUUACCCAGCAGGGGUCCCAGGUCGAGCAGGGCCAACCCUGCUCGCGCAGCGCCGGACCCCUCCCCGCUGCCCGGGGUGCGGCGGCUUCCCUCCGCCCAAACGGGGGGUGUCUCCUCCAUCACCCCUGCCGCGGCUUCCCAGUCGGAGUCGCGCUGCGGGGCGAGGGAGGCUCGCUCCUCCGCGGCCGGGGCCUGGGGGUGCCAGUGCGCCCCCGAGUGAGCGGGUCGGGGAAGGUGUGAUUAUGAAAAUAAACAAGGGAAGUGAGGGAAAUAUAACCAAGUGGAAAAAGGAAAUGGAGUGCAAAUUGAGAACAUAAUCCAGAAUUCGUAAAAGUGGUAUGGAUAAAGAAGGUCAAAAUGGUCUCUGAUGAAAAGAAACUUUUAAAAUGCUUGGAAAAGUUAAUGAAUUAGAUUUCCCUGCACUUGAAGAUAUUAGGAUUGGGAGAUCAAGACUCCCAUCAGCCAAAUCAAGAAUAUUCACAAUUGACAGGAAAACUCAAAGUUUCUUUUUCCCCACCAGAGAAAUGUCUCCCACCCCCAUAGCUAAACAGUGGUAAGUCAUAGAAAUGAUUAUAUUAGCUUAAAGAGAAUGUUUCCUAAGCAAUAAACUUCAAGUGCACACAACCUAGUUUUUAUUUUAUUUAUUUCAUGUAGUUUGUCAUAAGUGCUUGAAAAUACUUCUUGCAAAAAUGUCCUUUUUAACUUUAUAAAACUUGUUUUCUGCUGUGGAUAAAAUUACUAUGUGAUAAACUAUAGUUUUUUUUUAAAGUCUUUGCAGCAAUAAUGAAAGUUCAAUGAAAAGAACAUAACUAGAAGCGAUGUGCAACACCCCUUUAUUUUUAAAUAGCCUUUAAAUGAUUUACGAAAUAAAAAUGCUAGUUCAGUUUCCCUUAAAUAACCAGUAUUUCACCAAAUAUUUUCUGCGUUCUUAAAUGUUCAAA
Molecule: long non-coding RNA, 1887 nt
Filed under: Homo sapiens (human)
Lineage: Eukaryota; Metazoa; Chordata; Mammalia; Primates; Hominidae
Description: HSALNT0021942
Source: RNAcentral